RNAcentral lists this ribosomal RNA (489 nucleotides) under uncultured bacterium. RNAcentral's name for it is "bacterial SSU rRNA". It matches the Rfam family "Bacterial small subunit ribosomal RNA", at positions 30 to 506 of the family's 1533-position model. The record is from RNAcentral.
AUUGAACGCUGGCGGUAUGCUUAACACAUGCAAGUCGAACGGUAGCAGAAGAGAGCUUGCUCUCUUGCUGACGAGUGGCGGACGGGUGAGUAAUGCUUGGGAAUCUGCCUAGUAGUGGGGGACAACACGAGGAAACUCGUGCUAAUACCGCAUACGUCCUACGGGAGAAAGUGGGGGAUCUUCGGACCUCACGCUAUUAGAUGAGCCCAAGUCGGAUUAGCUUGUUGGUGAGGUAACGGCUCACCAAGGCGACGAUCCGUAGCUGGUUUGAGAGGAUGACCAGCCACACUGGGACUGAGACACGGCCCAGACUCCUACGGGAGGCAGCAGUGGGGAAUAUUGGACAAUGGGCGAAAGCCUGAUCCAGCAAUACCGCGUGUGUGAAGAAGGCCUGCGGGUUGUAAAGCACUUUCAAUUGUGAAGAAAAGCUUAGGGCUAAUACCUCUGAGUCUUGACGUUAACUUUAGAAGAAGCACCGGCUAACUCCGU